UUUUCAGGAAACAUCUACAUGAUUGUAGGCGGUAACAAUAACUUCUGUUUCAAACUACUUAAAUAUUGUGCUCUAGAUUUUAAUUUCAUGAUGUCUAUAAUGGUUUGUUGAGGUAAACUGUCUGUAUGCUGAGGUAACACACCGUCUGUCUACUGAGGUAACACACCGCCUGUCUACUGAGGUAACACUCUGUCUGUCUACUGAGGUAACACACCGUCUGUCUACUGAGGUAACACACCGCCUGUCUACUGAGGUAACACACCGCCUGUCUACUGAGGUUCCCCCUACUGUCUGCUGAGGUAACACACCGUCUGUCUACUGAGGUAACACACCGUCUGUCUACUGAGGUAACACACCGUCUGUCUACUGAGGUAACACACCGUCUGUCUACUGAGGUAACACUCUGUCUGUCUACUGAGGUAACACACCGUCUGUCUACUGAGGUAACAUACCGUCUGUCUACUGAGGUAACACACCGUCUGUCUACUGAGGUAACAGUGUCUGUCUGUCUCAGUCUUCUGGAGAACAAGGAAAC
This is a long non-coding RNA of Esox lucius (northern pike), 535 nucleotides long. The record is from Ensembl. Lineage: Eukaryota; Metazoa; Chordata; Actinopteri; Esociformes; Esocidae.